GAUGAACGCUGGCGGCGUGCCUAAUACAUGCAAGUCGAGCGAACAGACGAGGAGCUUGCUCCUCUGACGUUAGCGGCGGACGGGUGAGUAACACGUGGAUAACCUACCUAUAAGACUGGGAUAACUUCGGGAAACCGGAGCUAAUACCGGAUAACAUGUUGAACCGCAUGGUUCAACAGUGAAAGACGGUCUUGCUGUCACUUAUAGAUGGAUCCGCGCCGCAUUAGCUAGUUGGUAAGGUAACGGCUUACCAAGGCAACGAUGCGUAGCCGACCUGAGAGGGUGAUCGGCCACACUGGAACUGAGACCCGGUCCAGACUCCUACGGGAGGCAGCAGUAGGGAAUCUUCCGCAAUGGGCGAAAGCCUGACGGAGCAACGCCGCGUGAGUGAAGAAGGUCUUCGGAUCGUAAAACUCUGUUAUUAGGAAAGAACAAAUGUGUAAGUAACUAUGCACGUCUUGACGGUACCUAAUCAGAAAGCCACGGCUAACUACGUG
RNAcentral lists this ribosomal RNA (497 nucleotides) under uncultured bacterium. Its description in RNAcentral is "partial 16S ribosomal RNA". It matches the Rfam family "Bacterial small subunit ribosomal RNA", at positions 28 to 507 of the family's 1533-position model. The record is from RNAcentral.